GUCCUCACCCACGGAUGAACAUGGGUAGACGAGGAAGCACAAUCAGCCCCUAUCGCGGAAAGGCGAAAAAAAAAAAGGAGGGGGCAAGUAUUCAAGUAAUAUUCCUCACCCACGGAUGAACGCGGGUAGACGAGGAAGCACAAUCAGCCCCUAUCGCAGAAAGGCGGAAAAAAGGAGGGGGCAAGUAUUCAAAUAGUAAGUCCUCACCCACGGAUGAACAUGGGUAGACGAGGAAGCACAAUCAGCCCCUAUCGCAGAAGGGCGGAAAAAAGGAGGGGGCAAGUAUUCAGGUAAUAUUCCUCACCCACGGAUGAACGCGGGUAGACGAGGAAGCACAAUCAACCCCUAUCGCAGAAAGGCGGAAAAAAGGAGGGGGCAAAUAUUCAAUUAACAGUCCUCACCCACGGAUGAACGUGGGUAGACGAGGAAGUACACUCAGCCCCUAUCGCAGAAAGGCGGAAAAAAGGAGGGGGUCGGGUACUCUCAAAACCCGCCACAGGGAAGAGAACCCAAGCAGUGCUCAAGGN
Molecule: long non-coding RNA, 527 nt
Filed under: Zostera marina
Lineage: Eukaryota; Viridiplantae; Streptophyta; Magnoliopsida; Alismatales; Zosteraceae
Description: long non-coding RNA (ZMAR_LNC002283)
Source: RNAcentral